CAGCCAUGCCGCGUGCAGGAAGACGGCCCUAUGGGUUGUAAACUGCUUUUGUACCGGAAUAAACCCCCGUUCGAGAACGGGGCUGAAUGUACGGUAAGAAUAAGGAUCGGCUAACUCCGUGCCAGCAGCCGCGGUAAUACGGAGGAUCCAAGCGUUAUCCGGAUUUAUUGGGUUUAAAGGGUGCGUAGGCGGUCUGUUAAGUCAGGGGUGAAAGACGGUAGCUCAACUAUCGCAGUGCCUUUGAUACUGAUGGACUAGAAUAUACCUGAGGUAGGCGGAAUGUGACAAGUAGCGGUGAAAUGCAUAGAUAUGUCACAGAACACCGAUUGCGAAGGCAGCUUACUAAAGUAUGAUUGACGCUGAGGCACGAAAGCGUGGGGAUCAAACAGGAUUAGAUACCCUGGUAGUCCACGCCCUAAACGAUGAACACUCGAUGUUGGCGAUAUACGGUCAGCGUCAAAGCGAAAGCGUUAAGUGUUCCACCUGG
This 487-nucleotide ribosomal RNA is filed under the name uncultured Mucilaginibacter sp. Its description in RNAcentral is "bacterial SSU rRNA". It matches the Rfam family "Bacterial small subunit ribosomal RNA", at positions 389 to 876 of the family's 1533-position model. Lineage: Bacteria; Pseudomonadati; Bacteroidota; Sphingobacteriia; Sphingobacteriales; Sphingobacteriaceae. The record is from RNAcentral.